AACGAACGCUGGCGGCGCGCCUAAUACAUGCAAGUCGAGCGAGAAGACGUAGCAAUACGUUUGUAAAGCGGCGAACGGGUGAGGAAUACAUGGGUAACCUACCCUCGAGUGGGGAAUAACUAGCCGAAAGGUUAGCUAAUACCGCGUACGCUCCUUGGACUUCGGUUCAGGGAGGAAAGCGAUACCGUGGGUAUCGCGCUCUUGGAUGGGCUCAUGUCCUAUCAGCUUGUUGGGAGGUAACGGCUCACCAAGGCGGCGACGGGUACCGGGCGUGAGAGCGUGACCCGGCACAUCGGAACUGAGAUACGGUCCGGACACCUACGGGUGGCUGCAGCAACGAAUAUUCCGCAAUGGACGAAAGUCUGACGCAGCGACGCCGCGUGUGGG
This 387-nucleotide ribosomal RNA is filed under the name uncultured bacterium. RNAcentral describes it as "bacterial SSU rRNA". It matches the Rfam family "Bacterial small subunit ribosomal RNA", at positions 29 to 407 of the family's 1533-position model. The record is from RNAcentral.